Long non-coding RNA from Podarcis raffonei (Aeolian wall lizard), 1083 nucleotides. RefSeq lists it as uncharacterized. NCBI's taxonomy places the organism in Eukaryota, Metazoa, Chordata, Lepidosauria, Squamata, Lacertidae. The transcript is spliced from 2 exons. The record is from RefSeq and is a predicted model, not a curated record.
AAUUACAUUCAAGUAAAUACGGUAAGUUAACAGAAUGCUCAAACCUACUUUGUACAUAUAGAUGUUUCAAUAUGUAUUUUCUGUCAAUGAUCAUGGAUGGGUGUAGUUAUUAUGACACAAUAACUCUUUCUCACAACAUAUUCCACUUAACAGAUCAGCCACCUUAAAUUUACUACCAAUUUUUAUUUUUUUCUUAUUUUUUUCUGAGCAUUUCCCUAAAUACACUUGUUACAUCUCUGGAAUCAUAGAUGCAUUUUGAAUAUUUGAGCAUUUUGUACAUUUUCUGUAUCCAUCUUCACUAUAAAAGCUGAACAGACAGGGCCAAAGGUUCCAAUCAAACGUGUCCUUUAUUCCUGGUGUGCAUGGAAAAUAUUUGCCACUAUUUUUGCCUUUCUGAUCAACUCAGAUCAAGAGUCCGGAUCAGCAGUCAUGUUGAAAGGAAGUUCUUGCCAUCCACAAAGUCUUGCUCAAAGGCGGGGGACCUGCUACUAGUCCAUACGGAACAGCAGAAAUAAGUUUUGGGUCGAAAGUCUCCUGUCAAGUAAGAAGAAAGGAGUUCACAGACCAAUGCCAGCUAACUCCCAAUAGUGGAUAAUGUGUAAAGGGUAGUAGGCUGACCUAGGUCCUAGGCUGGCUUAAGAAUCUUUAAAUAGUCACCUCGGAAGUGAUUAAAAUGAUCAGCAAAUAGAUGGCACUCAAAGCUGUGGGUAAAGAGAGACUAGAAGACAACCAAGGCGAAAACCUCAAGGAACCUCAAUAGAUUUGGGGACAGCAGAUAUAAUGGAAAUACUGAAAAGGUGAUUGUCAGGAUAAAUUCCGCAGCAACAGUGAGAGAUUCUUUGAGGAGCAAUUCUUAGAGGAAGCAAGAGCAAGACAAUGUCCAUGCCACUGAGAGGAGUAUUUGCUCCAACAGUGGAAGUGAAAGGGAGCAGCUGGGGACAGAAGACAACUUUAUGUCAGGGUCCACCGAGCAGCAGGAAUGCAAGUUGUAAAAAGUUCAGAUCCCCAAAGGUCAGGAGUGAGAAAGCCAUUAUUGUGAUGGGGCUAGAAGCAAGCAGCGCAAUCUCUAGGACAAGUGAAAAA